Molecule: ribosomal RNA, 253 nt
Filed under: uncultured bacterium
Lineage: Bacteria
Description: partial 16S ribosomal RNA
Rfam family: Bacterial small subunit ribosomal RNA
Source: RNAcentral
UACGGAGGUCGCAAGCGUUGUUCGGAAUCACUGGGCGUAAAGCGCGUGUAGGCGGCUCUGCAAGUCGGGUGUGAAAUCCCGAGGCUCAACCUCGGAACUGCACUCGAUACUGCUUGGCUCGAGUCCCGGAGAGGGUGGCGGAAUUCCCGGUGUAGGGGUGAAAUCCGUAGAUAUCGGGAGGAACACCAGUGGCGAAGGCGGCCACCUGGCCGGUGACUGACGCUGAGACGCGAAAGCGUGGGGAGCAAACAGG